UACGUAGGUGGCAAGCGUUGUCCGGAUUUACUGGGCGUAAAGCGCGUGUAGGCGGCCCUGCAAGUCGGAUGUGAAAUCCCACGGCUCAACCGUGGAAGUGCAUUCGAAACUGCAGGGCUAGAGUCCUGGAGAGGAAGGUGGAAUGCUUGGUGUAGAGGUGAAAUUCGUAGAUAUCAAGCGGAACACCGGUGGCGAAGGCGGCCUUCUGGACAGUGACUGACGCUGAGACGCGAAAGCGUGGGGAGCAAACAGG
This 253-nucleotide ribosomal RNA is filed under the name uncultured bacterium. RNAcentral describes it as "partial 16S ribosomal RNA". It matches the Rfam family "Bacterial small subunit ribosomal RNA", at positions 524 to 776 of the family's 1533-position model. The record is from RNAcentral.